AUGAACGCUAGCGGGAGGCCUAACACAUGCAAGCCGAGCGGUAGAGAUCUUUCGGGAUCUUGAGAGCGGCGUACGGGUGCGGAACACGUGUGCAACCUGCCUUUAUCUGGGAGAUAGCCUUUCGAAAGGAAGAUUAAUACCCCAUAAUAUAUGAUUCGGCACCGGAUUCUAUUGAAAGCUCCGGCGGAUAGAGAUGGGCACGCGCAAGAUUAGAUAGUUGGUGAGGUAACGGCUCACCAAGUCAGUGAUCUUUAGGGGGCCUGAGAGGGUGCUCCCCCACACUGGUACUGAGACACGGACCAGACUACUACGGGAGGCAGCAGUGAGGAAUAUUGGACAAUGGGUGAAAGCCUGAUCCAGCCAUCCCGCGUGAAGGACGACGGCCCUAUGGGUUGUAAACUUCUUUUGUAUAGGGAUAAACCUACCCUCGUGAGGGUAGCUGAAGGUACUAUACGAAUAAGCACCGGCUAACUCCGUGCCAGCAGCCGCGGUAA
This 494-nucleotide ribosomal RNA is filed under the name uncultured bacterium. RNAcentral describes it as "partial 16S ribosomal RNA". It matches the Rfam family "Bacterial small subunit ribosomal RNA", at positions 29 to 523 of the family's 1533-position model. The record is from RNAcentral.